AUGAGGAACAUUCUCCCUUGGAGGAGCCGCCCAGUUCUGCCUCAGCUGGGGAGCUGGGACGCUGGGACCGAGGCUCUGCUCUGCUUAGGGCAAAAGGGCUGGAGUCCAGGCCAGACGUGGAUCUUCCUCAUUUCAUUAUCUCAAAUGAGACCAGCCUGGAGAAAUCAGUGCUUUUGGAGCUGCAGCAGCACAUGGUUUAGCAUGGGGUAUUUAUCCUCAAUAAAUACAGUAAUUGUAAGCAACAUACAAGGAAUCAGUGUCAAGCCACCAUGUUUAUCCUCUGGGUUGGGAUGUCUCCUUUGGCAUGAGGAUAAAGGAGGAAUGUGGACGGUGGACAGGCAGGUAGCAAGAGGCUUUGGAACACAGCAGUGCUGCUGGGAGGGGAGAAGACAAGAGGCGUGCGUGGGCCAGCCCGCUGAGUCCAGUCACGGGGUCAUUGCGCCCUCCUGCCAAGCAUGAUGGUGAGACUUCUUUC
RNAcentral lists this long non-coding RNA (475 nucleotides) under Capra hircus (goat). Its description in RNAcentral is "lncRNA (ENSCHIG00010029955.1)". The record is from RNAcentral. Lineage: Eukaryota; Metazoa; Chordata; Mammalia; Artiodactyla; Bovidae.